This 224-nucleotide unclassified non-coding RNA is filed under the name fungal sp. Its description in RNAcentral is "partial internal transcribed spacer region". The stretch from base 1 to 46 matches the Rfam family "Eukaryotic small subunit ribosomal RNA", at positions 1786 to 1831 of the family's 1831-position model. The record is from RNAcentral. Lineage: Eukaryota; Fungi.
AAGUCAUAACAAGGUUUCCGUAGGUGAACCUGCGGAAGGAUCAUUAGUGAAUCGACCUCACGGUCUAACACAUUAUCCACACACACCUGUGAACUGUUUUUGAAUGCUCUGUGAAUGGACGAAAGUCUGGAAGCGAGUGUUUGAUCUAUUACAAACUUUUUUUGUUUUGAAUGUAUAAACAUAUAACAAAAACAAAACUUUCAACAACGGAUCUCUUGGCUCUC